Molecule: long non-coding RNA, 2085 nt
Organism: Oreochromis niloticus (Nile tilapia)
Lineage: Eukaryota; Metazoa; Chordata; Actinopteri; Cichliformes; Cichlidae
Exons: 3
Source: RefSeq, a predicted model, not a curated record
UGCAGACAGGCCAUCACACAGCCCCUCCCCUCACUAGCAGCCGAACACAUUAACAGCAAACUUGGUGAAACAUUUUAAAGACUCACACUCCGUCUUCAUGAAGAAUUCGAAGAGCCCAUCAAACACCUCAAAACAUAAAGGAAGGGAAGCAUUCCGUGGCCAGGAGAAGAAGUGGCUUGGAAAAUACAUCUGCAGAACUUCACGGCCAUUAACAGCCAUACGUCACUGCAGAUUACACAGCAAACUGUAGGAUAGGAGCGAGCAACAAGUCUCAUUAUGCGCAGCCUCACCAACUCCCACCCAGCUUCUGCCUCUCACAGAGACUACAGUGGUUGUAAUGUUUGUACUUUCAGGACGUCCUGUGACAUAUCUGCAUGCAUUCAGACUCACGCAUUCUCUUUAUCUGCUGUUCCUCUCCUUCGGCUAGCUUUCCCGAAGAGGCAUGAAAUAAAAAUGACCUUGAUGACACAUUUCUGCAAUACUUUCCCGAGGAAACCACGCAAUGAAAUUUUUAUGCCAGGCCUCUAAAUGCACCUAUCCCGGGGUAUUUUUAAUGUCACUUCUGCACCCUGUCAUUCCUGACAGGCUUGUUGGUUUUCAUGCCGCCAACCAUUAAAGUGCUGUUUUUUCUUUUUUCAGUGCAAGCCUGCAUCUGGACCGCCUUGGCCGCAUCAGGCAGGCAGGCAAAUAUCAGUCAAGCGCAGCAAUUAUCAUUAACAUUUGUGUGUCAUGAGCUGAAGCCAACGGGCUGCUAAUUGUGCUUCAGUUUGCCUCUGUAUAAUUAUGCGUCUUUGUAUGAAAAGUUUUAGGCCAUUUGGUAGUUAAAUUACACGCACAAUAUUUUUUAACUCUCUUAAAUAUUUAUGCUUGGAUUCUCAGGAGAGUCUCUGUUCUCCGUUUUGGGGUUUCGAGGCGAUACCGUGCACUGCUGUUCAAAAAAUAAGACGGAGCUGAGGAAUAAUCCCCAAUCCUGAACCCUUUUGAAAGUGAAGUGUUUCUCCUUUUUCUCGCUGCUGACCUUUAGAAUAAGUUCAGCGCUCGUCAAGGCGGAUGACAAGCCUGUGCAACAGAUUACACACAGAGAGUCACUGGAGCUGCUCACUCAGACAUAAAAACCUAAUGCUGAAUGAACAAUGUAGGUAGGCACGCCAGCGGAUUGAUGCUCAUGUGCAGCACAUGGUCUUGCCCUGCCUGGUGUUAACAUUAUAUUGACACAUUUCCUCCUCCUGGUGCCUGCAUUAAUUUCAGGUUCUUUUUCUGAGGAUGGAAAACUCUAACAGAAUCCCUUUCAGUUAUCAUUUUGAAGAGCCGUUUCGGUUUAGCAUGUCAGAUGUGCUGAAAACGCACAGAUGCCCACAUCUAUAAAACAUAUUAAACUGGGCUUAUAUGGCAUUUGCUGGCCAUUGUAGACUCCAGGCCUGCACAGACCCACAGACACAGAAUUAUGUAGUGACUGGCAGAUGCACUGAUUGAAACCAUUAGUGACAUAAAGGCUGAUUCACUACAGUAUGAGGCAACAAAGUGGCCACAUGAGAGGGACUAGAAUGAAAACAUCUUUGUUCCUGUUCACUUCAGUGGAAAUCCUAAAAAGGACUUAGACGGAUUCCUGGGGGCCGCCGUAGGUGGUCAGCAGUAGCAACGGCAGCGGAGGCGGCGGCGUAAUCAGCCUCAAAUCCGCAGGGAUUAUUGAAGGGAGGGUCAGCGCUGGAGGAUUACUAAACAUCUGCACCGAUCAGUGAGACGCUCACACACACACACACACACACGCAGAUUACUUUCGCUUCCACCAUGAUAGUCCCACAACAAAGUAGACAGGCAAAUGGGAUCAGCAGAGGGUGAAAUUCAGAGAAGGCAAUCCCGCCCCGCCGCAUCCCGUAACACAGCGUCAGGGCUUUAAUGUAAUCUGGGAAAAGUUGGGAUGCGGAGCGGGAUCUGUUUGUUUCUGAGCUCCCACUCACAGCUCGGGAGCUCAGCAGCUGGGCUGCUGGAGGUUUAACUUGACAAAUGCUGAAGUAACCAUGUGAAAAAGAACACACUACUACUUGUACUACUACUACAACUGCUCCCACUCUUAUUAACCGCACA